Molecule: long non-coding RNA, 2447 nt
Organism: Cynoglossus semilaevis (tongue sole)
Lineage: Eukaryota; Metazoa; Chordata; Actinopteri; Pleuronectiformes; Cynoglossidae
Exons: 5
Source: RefSeq, a predicted model, not a curated record
GUAGCGCUCGUUAGCUCCGUAAAUUACACGCAGAGAACGCGAAGCACCUGUAGCACAUGUAGCCUUACCUACGGGUUCGUUUCGUUUUCUUAUUUUUUUAUAUUAUCAUUCAAUGCUUCGUGGUGUUUGGCUACAGCUGUGUGAAUGUGGUUCAUGAGAAGUUUAUGUUUCGGAACCACAUUUUAUGACUGUGAAGAUACGAGUGAUACGAGUUGGUGGAGAAGCAGUUGAAAGUGAGCUCAGUAGUUUUCAAAGUGUGGACUGCUGCCAGGGGGCGCUGGGGCACCUCAGAAAAUUGAAGGUCGUCUUUCAAAGUUUACUGGUCGUGUCUGAUUGUGAUACGAACGGCAGCAGUGAGAAAAGGCCCCGGCUGCAGACAACAACGUUGCUUCACCUCUGAUGUAAUGGAAAACCAUCAUGUUUUGAAGAACUGGAUCCACAGUAUCACAGAUCACAGUCUGAAUUGUCGACUGUCAAAAGCGUCGAGGAGACGGAAAACAGAGGCGCAUUCAACACGGCACAUACUGUGCUUUUCUCUGAGAUGUAAUCACGCGCCGCUGAUGCACCGCGGGGAGAGCAGAUGGAAGCGCCAGUGUCAUGGAGCAACACUCCGGACUAGAAACCUGCCCUGAAGCUACAGCUGCAGCCACGUCCGUGUAGGAAACUGUUUAACAUAUCUGCGCAGUUUGGCUUCAUUUGGAAGGACAGGGAGGGGAUAAAGGGCAAAUUCCAUCCAACCUAAGUGUGCUAAAGGAGACAAUAUGUCGGAGCUCCUCUGCUGGAUUAGUGGAUAAAUGCACAGAGAGCCGCUGUCGCCUUGGACCAAGGAAACGGAAUUGUACCGAGCCGGCGGUGCUAACGCAAUGGAUACUCUGUCGUCCCUCUAAGGUAAGAGAUGACCGUAACUAUGUCAGACUGGUCACUGUCGUGAUCCUCCCGUACAUACAUGUAGUGUGCAGUUCGUACUUUUGUGUUUAACCCAGGUGGAAGUGUUUGUGGCGGUACCUUUACAUUGGGCUCGUGUGCCACGUAUUCGACUUCUUUCCUUUUCCCGAUGUUUGUGUCACUCAGUCAACAGGAACUAUCAGUUCACUACCUCUGGGUUUAAACUGCGUGCACUGGAAGUCAUACGUCAAAAAAACAAACCAAAUGAACUUUGUGCAAAAAUGUCACUAAAAUGUACAUUAUCCCGGGCAGCGUAUACGCAAAAAGUAACCUGCGUGAACGUUGUCUCUUGCCACUGCGUCUGUUUUGUCUAUUUCGCCCCCUGACUGGUCGUGUGCGUGGACGGUUGCCAUGUUCCGUCAAACAGAUUACGCCCGGCGCAUACAAAAAUAUGCAACUCGUUCAGAUUGCCUUCGUUUUUUGUGCAAAGACUCACGCGGGUGAGUGGGAAGUAGAGAAAUGUCAGCAUUGUCAGGGGCUGAGACCGUCAUUUAAAACUCCCCUUAAGUUACAGCGAUGAUCUCCUUCCUGCGUGUGCGUUUUACAUCACCGCUUAAAUUAUGAUUAUCACAUUAAACUUCGUGUGAUGCAGAUCGUCCUUCGGCGUCCGCGUCUGGUUUAGAAGUCGAUAUCGGUCCUGAGGCACCAGGGCCAACAGUGUAAUGACACAUCCCACUGUAAUUACCUCCCUCUUGUGGAUUACAAGUGGUAGUAUGACACUUGGAUAAGAAACCCCACUCAGGAGGACAGGAAGCUGCAGUGUCUUCACUAUGUGCCAGGUUUGUUAGGAGGAUUCUGUGCUGUGAUUGACGUUGAGUUGUUGCCAGUAAGGACAGUUCAGCACCACGGACAGCGCCGCGUAGUUGUUCGUAAAUACAUUUAAGCACCCUGGACAGCGCAAAUGGCUGCUUCGUGUCGUUCUGACUGAGGAGGCUUCAGUUGACAUUCUGCACCGCGGUUUUCAUUUAAAGUGUCUCAGCGUCUCCAUUUAAGAGCAUGAUCUGCAGCACCGUUGAUUGGAGAGAUUAACUAAUGUGAAAUUUACAAGACGUGAGCAAAUAGGAAAUGGAGGAAUUCAAAAACAUUAUAGUCUGCAGUACAUCCACCUCUACAUCCCGGCAGGUUCAAGUCAACCAUACUGUGCAAACUGAAUAAUAAAAAAAUGUAUCUGUAAAUUUAACAUUUUUAAAUAUAUUACUGUAAUGAACUGACUCUGUGUACAUCGUUUAUAUGACCAUAAAUGGAAAAGGGGGAAAGGCAGUCACUGGAUGAAUCAGUGGUGUGAAGAUACCACUCCCUUUUGUUAUAACAGGAGGUGCAGUCUUUGGGCCAACUCCAAACCACAAAAAGCCCAGAACAUGAAAAUAUAUGGAAUUUCUACUCAAUGGUUAUGAAUGCUGCUUGUAUUUUAUUGUGGAAAAUACACGUUUUAAUUGUCCUUUCACACCACAUAUUUAUGUUGUUAUGGCAUGUGGCAAGUGAACAAUCUGAUUCAGAUGAGA